UACGGGGGGGGGCAAGCGUUGUUCGGAAUUACUGGGCGUAAAGGGCGCGUAGGCGGCCUUCUAAGUCGAACGUGAAAUCCCCGGGCUCAACCCGGGAACUGCGUCCGAUACUGGAAGGCUUGAAUCCGGGAGAGGGAUGCGGAAUUCCAGGUGUAGCGGUGAAAUGCGUAGAUAUCUGGAGGAACACCGGUGGCGAAGGCGGCAUCCUGGACCGGCAUUGACGCUGAGGCGCGAAAGCCAGGGGAGCAAACGGG
RNAcentral lists this ribosomal RNA (254 nucleotides) under uncultured bacterium. RNAcentral's name for it is "partial 16S ribosomal RNA". It matches the Rfam family "Bacterial small subunit ribosomal RNA", at positions 524 to 776 of the family's 1533-position model. The record is from RNAcentral.